RNAcentral lists this long non-coding RNA (1216 nucleotides) under Panicum hallii. RNAcentral's name for it is "long non-coding RNA (PHAL_LNC000009)". Lineage: Eukaryota; Viridiplantae; Streptophyta; Magnoliopsida; Poales; Poaceae. The record is from RNAcentral.
ACGGAUCGCACGCGACAUGUGCAGGGAGAGUCGGAGAGAGGAGGCCCGAUGCGUACGUGCCGUCGACACGAGCCGCCGCGGCGUGGCGCGCGUCUCCGCUCCGCUGACUGCUACCGAGCACUAGAAACCCUUCACCAAAUCAAGUAAUCUUUUUUGAUGAAUACUCAGAUCAAUUUUUUUUUUUGGCGUUUGGACCCGGCAAAAAUCCGGUCCUCUGCUCGGCAACCGGCAGCUCGUCGCUUCUCACCUUCUUCACGUUUUACUUUCUAGGACGACGCAUGGUUUUGAUCCCUUCUCUUUCCCCACCUCGUGUCACGGCCAGAGAGGUUCGGUGGACGAUGGAGCGUUGAAAUUUAUGCGGACCGAGAAUAGAAUCCAGUACGGUAUAGAUUAUCUGAUCCGGUUUGGUUUGGUGUAGUCUAGUUGGGUAGGGUCGUUCGCUGUGGUGGGAUUUGUCCACCGGAUUCAGCCUUCGUAUUUCAGGACUUAUUAUUAUUAUUAUUAUUAUUAUUAUUAUUAUUAUAACUAUUAUUUUAAUGGCAGAUGAUGCGCGUUGGUAGUAAUUUUAUAAAUUUAUAUCCUGACGCCUAUUAUUCUAUUUUGGAGGUGGGCAUAAUAACACCCUGGUGUGCGUUCAUACUUCACAGGCUGGAUACAUAUUCAGAUACACGAGCAAUCUAGGUGCUUAUACGGUAGGAUGUACGCAAAUACCUACGUGUCAAUGCGCGAGAGUAUCUCGCCUCCAAACACUACCAUGCCACGUACACCAUGGCUACCCUCACCUCACACCUCUACAACGUAGGAAAUACGCAACUCUUUUUUUUCUUUUUUCUUUUUUUUGUCCCUCUCCCUUUUUAUGUGUGCUGAACUUUCUUUGGAAUCGAAAUAUCUGAACCUGAGCGCCCAAGUGCAUCAUGUUCCCUAAUCAUGUGUUCCCUGGUGCUCAGGUUGCGCCGCCCGUCACGCAAGUAGGCGCGUCCACUUCCGGCCGUCGCCGUCCGACGCAAUCCCCGUCCAAAGAUCGCCGCGGAAACGCCGCUUUCAGGCGCUACGGCCCGGCGCCCACUUCACUGUGCGGAUAAGCUCCGAGCUACGGAGACGGGGGGCUCACCCCUGAUGUCACUCGCGCGCCAUCAUGCCACGGCAAUGAUCACGACUAAAACACGACUUGUUGUUUUCAACCGUAUAACAUAGUAAUAAUAAGCUUUGUGUCAUG